AGGGAGGAUCUGACUCUUGGAGUCUGAUUUCCCCCCAAAUAACUGAGACUCUGGGGGCCCCCAGGAGAUUAUCCAAAACCAUGGCUUCCCAUAAGCCAUCUGGGCUUCACUGUGAGAUUCCUAAGGGUGGGCCCAGCUGGGUCAUCUUGUUGGAGAACCAGGAAGCUGGGCGUGAACUGCUGCACUUUCACUGUGCCAACCACAACAAGGGGUUGACAGCUCAGGUUCAAAGAGAUAAAAAGUGUAACUUUCCUGCCCAGACUGUGGCUCUGGCCUCAGAGCCCAAUGAGACAUGAGACUCACCCAGGCCAGGGAGAGCCGCCACAGCCCGGCUGGGGUCUCAGCUUGGUUCUGCAAGGCCCUGCGGGGCUCACAGAGGUUCAAGGUGAGCCUUAACAGUGGAGGCUAGAGCCCAGCUUUCCACCCACCUCCAUCCACUUUGGCUCUUUGUUCCUGAAAGCUGCUGUCUCAUACCUCCAGAGCUUUACCCAUGGUGUUCCUUCAUUCUGGAGAGCUCCUGCCCCACUCACACAAUCCACUUAGAUAAUACACACUCAGCUGUCAGGAAUCAACACAAGGAUCACCUCCUCCAUGAAGCCUUCUCUGAUUCUUCCCUUCGUGUCCCCACAGCAUCCUCCACCGACUUGGACCACAGACGCAUGACUUGUUAGAGCCCAGGUUUCCGAAUCUGCAUGUGCAGCAAAAUUACUUGCGGAUUUAUUUACAAAACAAAAAGCAGAUCUCUGGACUCAGACCUGUUAUAGAAGUUUGAGAAGACAACUAUUUCCAGCAAGCUCCAGGCUGUCUUACAUCUCAGGACUGAGUCACACAAGAGCUCUUGGAACCAGGCGAACCUGCAGCGACCUGUUUCACCAAUCAACCUAUUCUGAAAACCUGAAAGCUACUCAAGGUUGAUUCAAGGGCCACAGAGACUCCAGAGGCAGUAGCAGCAGUGUUGAGUUCCCGUGGGGGGCAGUGGAGGCUCGCACCCCAGGGUCAGGGCGGGUCAGGUGCAAGUUCUCAUCAUAGCGUGGGGACCCAGUUCAGCCCCUGCUAGCCCCCUGAGAUCUCUCUCACCCUCCUCUGCAUCAGAAAAAUGGCUGAAGCUAGUAAGCCGGUGAUGAAGAAAGCUUCACAAUCUGUUCCUUCGGAGAGGAGUAAGAGAGAAAAAGAACAAUUCCGUAAACUCUUUAUCGGUGACUUGAGCUCUGAGACCACAGAAGAAAGUCUGUGGAACUAUUACCGGCAGUGGGGAUAUCUUACAGACUGUGUGUUAAUAAGGGACCCUGCCAGCCAAAAAUCAAGAAGAUUUGGUUUCAUCACAUUCUCUUCCAUGGCUGAGCUGGAUGCCGCCAUGGUGGCCAGACCUCAUUUCAUUGAUGGGAAGAUGGUUACGCCCAAACGUGCUGUCCCAAGAGAAGACCAUGGAAAGCGGGGGGCUCUCGUCACUGUGAAGAAGCUGUUUGUCGGCGGAAUCACAGAAGACACGGAGGAACGCCAUCUUAGAGAUUACUUUGAGAAGUACGGAAAAAUCAGCGCCAUUGAGAUAGUUACUGAUGGACAGUCUGGCAAGAAAAGAGGCUUCGGAUUUAUUACUUUUGAGGACCAUGAUCCCGUGGAUAAGAUCGUGUUGCAGAAAAAUCAUACCAUCAAUGGUCAUCGUGCAAGUGUAAGAAAGGCCUUAUCUAGACAAGAGAGGCAAGAAGGCCAACAUUUCAGAAGUCGAGGAGGAGGCGAUGUUGGUUUGGGGUAUUUUCAUGGUGUUGGUGGGAAUGUGGGAGCAGGACGAGGAAGGAACUUCAGAGGAGGAGCCAGUGGGUAUGGAAGAGGGUGUCAGUUUGGGGAUGGCUCUCACGGGUACGGAGGAAGAGCUGGAGGUGGCAGCUGGGGGCUCAGGCCUGGUUACGGGGGAGGACGGGGAGGAUGCGGUGGUGGAGGGUCUGCAGACGGCUACCAGGAUGAGGGCUUCAGAGCCCGUUCUGACGGCUAUGGAGGAGGAAGUCACACAAGUCGCAAUGUCAGCGAUUCAGGCAAUCAGAAGCAGAAACCUUCUAGGUACGAUUUACUGAAGAGUGGAAAGCUGAGAGAGAGCAGGAACACGGGCGGGUCGUAUACUGGAGGAAACCACGGUCCAGGAGGCAGUAGCGGACGUGGGGGCUGUGGAGAGACAAGGCGCUGGGGGCCUUCUCAGUGGCCAUGGGCUUGACUGUGUACAGAGGAGGGAAUUACCUCCCGGAGGGAAGGGAGGGGCUGCGGAUGGUCAAGGUGACAGUGCUAAGGGAGCGCUCGCCCCAGUCAGACACAGAUGCGCAGCGCCACGGCAGAAGACCCCCCAGCUAGUACCGAAGCCACUUUGUGAGUGGGCUCAGCCAUGUACAAGCGCUAUCUUCCUGUGGAGCAAAGACGUAAAGAAAAUGCUUCUGAGCUGGUUUUUUAGCUUUUGAAAUGUUCUGCCUUUCCAGCGGUCUCUGGAAGAGUGCAGAAUCAUCCCUUCUUUGAUAAUGUCCCAUUUCCAAGAUUCGGUUGACACGGGAAACCUUUUUCAAGAUUUUUCUCGAAGUUUUGAAAAACUGUUAGCCAGAAUCAAGGGAGACUAAGACUAAUAUCAUGCUUCUUAAGAAACGUAUUUCAUGUGUAGAGUUAAGAAGCCGUUGUACAUUUAAGAUGUAAUAAAAUAAUUCUAAAAGUAAAACAGUA
Molecule: RNA transcript, 2697 nt
Organism: Capra hircus (goat)
Lineage: Eukaryota; Metazoa; Chordata; Mammalia; Artiodactyla; Bovidae
Gene name: heterogeneous nuclear ribonucleoproteins A2/B1 pseudogene
Exons: 1
Source: RefSeq, a predicted model, not a curated record